UGUGGUGAGUUUUCACUGAAUUGUAUGUAGAGGAAAGUCCAUGCUCGCACAGUCUGAGAUGACUGUAGUGUUCGUGCCUAGCGAAGACAUAAGCUAGGGUAGUCUGGUUUUUUACUGGGCUAACGGCAGGGAAAGCACCUACGUUCUGCUGCGUCGGCUAAGCUGCGCAAGAAUAUGGUGCGACUACCUUGAAAGUGCCACAGUGACGAAGUCCGGCCAGAAAUGGACGGAGUGGAACGGGGUAAACCCCACGAGCGAGAAACCCAAAAUUUGGUAGGGGCAUCCCCAGGAAGGAAUUUAACGGAAUGGGGAACAGGCAAGCUUGACUUUGCUUGUAGACAGAUGAUUACUGCUUUUGUACGAGGGUUGACAUCCGCUUGCAGUACAGAAGUACAGAACAUGGCUUACAAAA
This 412-nucleotide RNase P RNA is filed under the name Evansella caseinilytica. RNAcentral's name for it is "Bacillus caseinilyticus Bacterial RNase P class B". It matches the Rfam family "Bacterial RNase P class B". Rfam says of the family: Ribonuclease P (RNase P) is a ubiquitous endoribonuclease, found in archaea, bacteria and eukarya as well as chloroplasts and mitochondria. Its best characterised activity is the generation of mature 5'-ends of tRNAs by cleaving the 5'-leader elements of precursor-tRNAs. Lineage: Bacteria; Bacillati; Bacillota; Bacilli; Caryophanales; Bacillaceae. The record is from RNAcentral.